RNAcentral lists this transfer RNA (66 nucleotides) under Scolytinae sp. BMNH 1040319. RNAcentral describes it as "tRNA-Pro". Lineage: Eukaryota; Metazoa; Arthropoda; Insecta; Coleoptera; Curculionidae. The record is from RNAcentral.
CAGUUAAUAGUUUAUUAAAAUAGUAAUUUUGGAGAUUACUGAUGAAUAAGUUUUAUUCUUAUCUGA